GACGAACGCUGGCGGCGUGCUUAACACAUGCAAGUCGAACGGAAAGACCCUGCUUUUGUGGGGUGCUCGAGUGGCGAACGGGUGAGUAACACGUGAGUAACCUGCCCUUGACUUUGGGAUAACUUCAGGAAACUGGUGCUAAUACCGGAUAGGAGCUCCUGCUGCAUGGUGGGGGUUGGAAAGUUUCGGCGGUUGGGGAUGGACUCGCGGCUUAUCAGCUUGUUGGUGGGGUAGUGGCUUACCAAGGCUUUGACGGGUAGCCGGCCUGAGAGGGUGACCGGCCACAUUGGGACUGAGAUACGGCCCAGACUCCUACGGGAGGCAGCAGUGGGGAAUAUUGCACAAUGGGCGGAAGCCUGAUGCAGCAACGCCGCGUGCGGGAUGACGGCCUUCGGGUUGUAAACCGCUUUCGCCUGUGACGAAGCGUGAGUGACGGUAAUGGGUAAAGAAGCACCGGCUAACUACGUG
This 468-nucleotide ribosomal RNA is filed under the name uncultured bacterium. RNAcentral's name for it is "partial 16S ribosomal RNA". It matches the Rfam family "Bacterial small subunit ribosomal RNA", at positions 28 to 507 of the family's 1533-position model. The record is from RNAcentral.